UAUAGUACGUAUUGGUCAGCUUUUUUCUAUUGUUCGUGUACUUUAUUUAAACUGCCGCAUUGCAGAACUGGCAGACAGUGGCCACGUUUUCCCCAUGACAGGUAUGAGCAGCUAAGGUUUUGAGUAACCCUUUCUCCUAUUAGGGGUCCCUAUCCAGUUUCUGGCAGUCCAUCGCCGUGGUAAUACCUGUCCGCCACUGUCUCACGCCAUGCCAUAUCUACCCACUACUCUUCUACAUGCCUGUGACGAAGACUAUGGACAUCAGAAAACUUAAAUAUCUUAUUGUUUAUAAUAUGUAUAUUUGUUUGGUUUUAUUUUAUAUAAAAAUUGUAAAUAUAAAACGAAUUCUGUUGUGUUUGACUGAACAGUCACGACGGCUGUCGUGACAAAUGGUGUCAGAAGUGGGAUAGCUGUUCAGUCAACACAUUUUUUUUGUAGUUUAUUUUGAAUAUUGUUCUUAAGAAUUUAUACUUCUGUUAUAUUUUUCAGUGGAAUGGCAGAUUUUUUUUUUUUGUGGCGUUGAUAUAUGGAAGGGCCCCGAACGGAGAAAGGUUGCUCAGGUUGUGUAUAUGUAAUAACUCUCGAGUGUUGAGAGGUCAGGUAUAUUGAUACUAGAUGCAUUGUUUUUAUUUAAGCUUUUUCUUUUGUAAGAUUAUUUUGUUGAUCGUUGUGUUAAUUAGCGUAGUUAAGAUGGAGUCGCCAACACUACAGGAGCUAACAGAACACGGGAGAAAGAUGGAGUUGAAGGGGACAGACCUUCAGAAAUUCAUCUUGGAUCAGCAAACUCAUUAUCGGGAGUUGAGAGCUGCAGAGAGAUCUCAGGAGAAAGAGGAGAGAGAGUAUCAGCUGAAGAGAGAAGAACAGGUUUCGAAUUAUAUCUAUUAAGGGCUCAGAUAAUGUUGGAGCCGACUGUCUAAGUCGUUUGUAAAUAUAUUUUUGUAGAUUUUGCUUAUGUAUUUUUGAAUUUUAUUUUUGUGUUUUAAAAGUUCUUCGAACUUUUUUUUUGUUUGGGGAGGUGUUGUCACAAAUCAGUAUCUACUGGUAUUGUAUUUGUUUUCUUUACAUAUUUGUAUCCUGUAGGGACCCUCUUUAACGUUCCUGUGUAACUAGUUUUUUUUACCCGUAGUGUACCUCUCUGGACACGGUGUCAGCUAUAGUACGUAUUGGUCAGCUUUUUUCUAUUGUUCGUGUACUUUAUUUAAACUGCCGCAUUGCAGAACUGGCAGACAGUGGCCACGUUUUCCCCAUGACAGGUAUGAGCAGCUAAGGUUUUGAGUAACCCUUUCUCCUAUUAGGGGUCCCUAUCCAGUUUCUGGCAGUCCAUCGCCGUGGUAAUACCUGUCCGCCACUGUCUCACGCCAUGCCAUAUCUACCCACUACUCUUCUACAUGCCUGUGACGAAGACUAUGGACAUCAGAAAACUUAAAUAUCUUAUUGUUUAUAAUAUGUAUAUUUGUUUGGUUUUAUUUUAUAUAAAAAUUGUAAAUAUAAAACGAAUUCUGUUGUGUUUGACUGAACAGUCACGACGGCUGUC
Molecule: long non-coding RNA, 1534 nt
Organism: Magallana angulata
Lineage: Eukaryota; Metazoa; Mollusca; Bivalvia; Ostreida; Ostreidae
Exons: 3
Source: RefSeq, a predicted model, not a curated record